GGAGAGGUGCGAGAGUGGUUGAAUCGGGCGGUCUCGAAAACCGUUGACUCGCUUGCGGGUCCGUGGGUUCGAAUCCCACCCUCUCCG
This 87-nucleotide transfer RNA is filed under the name Ignavibacteria bacterium GWA2_35_8. RNAcentral's name for it is "tRNA-Ser". It matches the Rfam family "tRNA". Rfam says of the family: Transfer RNA (tRNA) molecules are approximately 80 nucleotides in length. Lineage: Bacteria; Pseudomonadati; Ignavibacteriota; Ignavibacteria. The record is from RNAcentral. RNAcentral also lists the same sequence under 5 other names.